This is a long non-coding RNA of Harpia harpyja (harpy eagle), 410 nucleotides long. RefSeq lists it as uncharacterized. Lineage: Eukaryota; Metazoa; Chordata; Aves; Accipitriformes; Accipitridae. The transcript has 3 exons. The record is from RefSeq and is a predicted model, not a curated record.
UUGAGGCUGAACAGUACAUCUACAAAGCAUAUGGCAAAACACAAACUGGAUUUUAAGAAGUUACUUCCAUUUUAAUUAUCUGGAAUGAUAGGAAUUUUAAGUGGUUUAGGUUGAUUGACCCUUUAAAAUGAAAUUGACUUGAUUUGGGAACAGGACUCUCUGAGUUAAGCAUGGAAACACAGAACAUAUUCUCAAGUCUCGUACAAGUUUUGUCAUAUACUGACAUUUUGAUCAGCAGUGGUACUUCAGCGAUACGCUGUUGAGAAACAAGUAUGUUCUACUAAGUAAAGCAUCCUGGGAAUGGGAGGAGUCUCCGGCCUAAACCAGUGUUCUUUCCCCUACUAGUUUUGGGGACAGGAUGAGGGGUGAGAAGAAAAAUUAUUCAUGGCUUGGAAGUUGCUUUUGUUGCG